GAUGAAGAACGUAGCGAAAUGCGAUAAGUAAUGUGAAUUGCAGAAUUCAGUGAAUCAUCGAAUCUUUGAACGCACCUUGCACUCCUUGGUAUUCCGAGGAGUACGCCUGUUCGAGUGUUAUGAAGCUCUCAAAACGCAAUUGGCUUAAAACCUGAUUGUUGUUUUGGAUUUGAACUUUGCCGUGUUAUAACGGCUGGUUUUAAAAGUAUUAGCUGGUACUAGAACGAAUUGGUUCUACUCAACGUGAUAAUUAUCUGAUCGUUGAGGACAUUCCUUUCACGAGGAAUGGUCAUAGUAAAUUCAAUGGACUGCUUCUAAUCUGGCUUUAAUUCUUUAUUGGGUUAACCACUUUUCAAAUCUGACCUCGAAUCAGGUGGGACUACCCGCUGAACUUAAGCAUAUCAAUAAGCGGAGGA
Molecule: unclassified non-coding RNA, 416 nt
Filed under: soil metagenome
Description: partial contains 5.8S ribosomal RNA, internal transcribed spacer 2, and large subunit ribosomal RNA
Rfam family: 5.8S ribosomal RNA (bases 1-120)
Source: RNAcentral